CGCAGGGAGCCUGGCCACAUGGGAGGGGUGUGGUCCGGAACUCCAACCCCAGGUCCUGCUUGGCCGCCCCUCCCGCGGCUACGCACUACUCCAUCUACUGCUGGCUUGCCCCGGGUCCUUAAGCCAGCGACAGUUUUUAUUGCCGAACCCAGGCUGGAAGCGGGCGGCCCUAGGAGCCGCGCACAACAGCGCAAGCGGGCUGGAUACCGGGAGCCGAUUCCAGGGCGCCCACAGAAGCAGAAUCAGAGGGGUUGCUCACACCCGAGAUGUGAGGUUCCAGGAGCGCCGACCCAGAGUUGCCAGGCCUGAAGGCGGGAGAGGCUCAGUCGCACCCUACAUUUCCCACCUCCAAGAUUUUAAGUAUAGUUCGCUUGAAAUCCCUGGAAUGCGCUUUCUUCUGGCUCCUACCCGGAGAUCCGGAGUCCGGACAAACCGGGGCAGGAAGGGUCCGUCGGACCAGCUCCUCCCAAGCCGAGGCUUCCAGGUCUCGGCCGGGCUCUUCUCCCUGCUUUUAGCUGAGCCGGGCUGGGCGUACCUCUCUCCUCCAUCUAGAGCAGGGUGUGAAGAGGAAGCCAGAGGGGGCUGUCUGAAAAUGACCCUGACCCCCUCCUCGGGCUGUCGUGAGGAGGAGGGCCGCUUCGCCCGGCUGCUCGUCACCGCGAAGGCUCCAAAGAAGUGUUGCGCAGCCGUGCUGGUAUAACUGAGGGUGUCCUGGCGAAGCCCAGCCCCUGGCGCCCUGGUGACCGGGGGGGUCGAUGUGCGGACUGGGCAGAACUGGAGCCCGAAGCUGGAGAGCGCCCCUCAAAAAGAAGCCUGGAAGCCCGAGAGAUGAACCCGACUCAGAGAGGGCCAAGACUGCAGACCUUGGGGACCGAGGACACCCUCACCACGCUGGUGGGGGCUGGGGGGAUGGCGCGGGCGGUGGCGUGCGGGGAAGCGCCUGGGGAACACCUGGCUCUGCAAGUUUUGUGCCUUAGCGGAAAGAGGCGACAUCUCUGGCAAGUUGGGAGUACAGGAAGUAGCGAAGGAGUGCCAUCUGGUGGAUCCUUCUGGUAGUGACACUCAGACCUGGGCCAGGGGCCUUGAGACAAUUUACUUGACUGGAAAAAUCUGAAUAAAAAAAAGAUGCUUCAA
Molecule: long non-coding RNA, 1134 nt
Filed under: Homo sapiens (human)
Lineage: Eukaryota; Metazoa; Chordata; Mammalia; Primates; Hominidae
Description: non-protein coding lnc-KAZALD1-1:1
Source: RNAcentral